UGGGGAAUAUUGGACAAUGGAGGCAACUCUGAUCCAGCAAUUCUGUGUGUGUGAAGAAGGUUUUAGGACUGUAAAACACUUUUAGUAGGGAAGAAAAAAAUGACGGUACCUACAGAAGAAGCAACGGCUAAAUACGUGCCAGCAGCCGCGGUAAUACGUAUGUUGCGAGCGUUAUCCGGAAUUAUUGGGCUUAAAGGGCAUCUAGGCGGUAAGACAAGUUGAAGGUGAAAACCUGUGGCUCAACCAUAGGCUUGCCUACAAAACUGUAUAACUAGAGUACUGGAAAGGUGGGUGGAACUACACGAGUAGAGGUGAAAUUCGUAGAUAUGUGUAGGAAUGCCGAUGAUGAAGAUAACUCACUGGACAGCAACUGACGCUGAAGUGCGAAAGCUAGGGGAGCAAACAGG
RNAcentral lists this ribosomal RNA (407 nucleotides) under uncultured Sneathia sp. RNAcentral's name for it is "bacterial SSU rRNA". It matches the Rfam family "Bacterial small subunit ribosomal RNA", at positions 355 to 776 of the family's 1533-position model. The record is from RNAcentral. Lineage: Bacteria; Fusobacteriati; Fusobacteriota; Fusobacteriia; Fusobacteriales; Leptotrichiaceae.